This 238-nucleotide ribosomal RNA is filed under the name uncultured Glomeromycotina. Its description in RNAcentral is "partial small subunit ribosomal RNA". It matches the Rfam family "Eukaryotic small subunit ribosomal RNA", at positions 656 to 886 of the family's 1831-position model. Lineage: Eukaryota; Fungi; Glomeromycota. The record is from RNAcentral.
GGGUUAGUAGGUUGGUCAUGCCUCUGGUAUGUACUGAUCUCACUGAUUCCUCCUUCCUGAUGAGCCGUAAUGCCAUUAAUUUGGUGUUUUGGGGAAUUUGGACUGUUACUUUGAAAAAAUUAGAGUGUUUAAAGCAAGCUAACGCUUGAAUACAUUAGCAUGGAAUAAUGAAAUAGGACGUUCGAUCCUAUUUUGUUGGUUUCUAGGACCGCUGUAAUGAUUAAUAGGGAUAGUUGGG